This is a non-coding RNA of Phascolarctos cinereus (koala), 252 nucleotides long. Lineage: Eukaryota; Metazoa; Chordata; Mammalia; Diprotodontia; Phascolarctidae. The record is from RefSeq and is a predicted model, not a curated record.
AGCGGGGGCCACGUAUUGAAAGAUGUUGUGAGGAAGGGGCUGAGGCCAAGUGACCGAGGACUUUUAUGCCAGUCCGAGGCGGGCUCGAUCCCAUGGCUCUCGCAGGCUGCCCUUGGGAGUGUUGCACCUGUGAUGAGAUCUGUGAAAGAUCCCCGGACUAAAAGUCAGGGAGUAUUUUGUCUGACACCUUUGAUGGAUAAAGGGAUCCUUGAGCUACAUCCUGAAGAGAUGGAUUCUAUAAGGUGGAAGUGA